This 221-nucleotide unclassified non-coding RNA is filed under the name plant metagenome. RNAcentral's name for it is "partial contains small subunit ribosomal RNA, internal transcribed spacer 1, and 5.8S ribosomal RNA". The record is from RNAcentral.
UCGCCGUUGGUGAACCAGCGGAGGGAUCAUUACCGAGUUUACAACUCCCAACCCCUAUGUGAACCUUACCUUUUGUUGCUUCGGCGGGAUCGCCCUGGCGGUUGACCGCGCCCGCUCUCACCGCCCGCCGGUGGCCCACGACUCUUGUUUAUUUAUGUUUCCUCUCCGUGUGGCACAUGCAAGAUAAAUUAAAACUUUCAACAACGGAUCUCUUGGUUCUG